This 4123-nucleotide long non-coding RNA is filed under the name Actinidia chinensis (golden kiwifruit). RNAcentral describes it as "long non-coding RNA (ACHI_LNC004132)". Lineage: Eukaryota; Viridiplantae; Streptophyta; Magnoliopsida; Ericales; Actinidiaceae. The record is from RNAcentral.
AGCUUGCACACAUUCUCGUUGAGAAGAACGUGGAAACGAUGAAAAUUAUUCAAUUGACUACAUCAAAGGAGUUGGGUCAACAUUUACGGGGCACUAGAAGACGUUAUAAAAUCUGAUUCGAUUCGUAAGAAUAUACAUUUUAGCGUCAAUUACAGUCACCUCCAUUGAGAUAUCUAACAAAUACACUAGGAUACCCUACUUUUUCUAAAAUAGCAUUGACAUUCCUGUCAGACAAUAUACACCGUCAAGAAAUGUGGGAUUGCCAAUUAGCCCUUACAUUAAAUGGUUGAUUGUUUGUUUGGACCCUUUCAUCGUCGGGUUUUUUAAAUGAUGGAAUAAAAAUAUUUUCACUAUGUGUACCUAAAAAAUCACUACACUAAAUUAUUCCCCUUCCAACUGGAGAUUGGGAUGGGAGGUGGCAGUUGGUGGUGCUACAUGGUCAGUGGCGACUCAAGUAUUUUUUUGUCAAUGGUGACGUGUAUUUAGAACUAUAUUAUAUAUUCUUUGGAAUUUUAAACGUUAAUAUCUGUCACAGAUUUCUAACAAAUAACUUAUAACUUACCUAAUCAUAAUCAAGAAAUGCAUUUAAGAAUUUAUUUCUUGUGUUACAAUUGGUUUUCUUCAAAAAAAAUUGGUUAUUGCAAACUUUUUAUAUUGGUUCCAAUAGUCUUUUAAACAAUUUAUCCAAUUUGCAUUCUAAUAUACAUCAGAUUCUAAUAAAGAUAAACAGAGUAUUUGAAUCUAUCUCAUAGCUCAUCUUUUUUACAGUGCACCGUUUGCUAAUGGGGGUUGUACAGAUGAGGAAUUGACCGUGUAAAUCUGUCACACAACCAAAGAUAGUGAGCCUAUUUCAGAAAAAUCAGGGAGCUCAGUGGUAUUUUUCAGAUACGUGUGAAGUGUAAUUUAAUAAACCAAAUUUUUGCAAUAAAGGUUGGGUCAAAAAUUCAACAAGUCAAAAGAAUGGCCAAUACUCGAUAACAGAGAGGAAUCAAAGUCAAAGGCGCAAGGAACGGAGUUGGUGGGUCGCACACCUCUUCUCUCUGUAUAUAUGCCCCCCAUAGAGUCGUUUCCUCUCAACAACCCAAAAGAAAUCGCUUCCUCCCCUCUCCUCACUCUAGCUGCUUCUCUCUCUUCUCUCUCCUCUCAAUUGAGGGGGUACCUGGUGAUCUUGGAUGCAAUGGUGAAACAUCCCAGGUUUCACUCUCACUGCCCUCACAACUGCUCGGUGUAACUACCACCCCCCACCUUCCAACUCCGACGACCACCACCACAACGCGCACAGCAGUGAUCGUGAGAACACGCGCUGGUUCAGGACCGACCCGGAUGCCCCUUUUUGGACCAACCUAAUUUGGUGUUUGGAGGCUACAGAUUUUAUCGUUUUAUUCUUUGGUCUUAUAAAGACACCCCACGUAGAGAAGAACUAAAGGAAAUUAUUUGGUAGUUUUUUUUUUUUGGAGUGAAUUUGUCAUUUUUCGGAACUCUUGAGUCAUUUCUAAAAGAGAAUUCAAAAUUCCAAUAACAAUAUUAGGUUGUCCAAAAAAUCCGAGAACGUGAACCGAACCGAACGCUAGGCCAACCGUGUAUUUUGGAUUGGUUCAUGUUUUAAUAGUUAGGUUCUGGUUUUUAAAAAUUAGAACCGUAAAUUUGGUCGGUUACCGAUUUUUAUUUUUUAACCGUGGUUUCGAACCGAACCGAACCGAAAUCUAUUAUAUCUUAUAUAUAUAUAUCGGGUAUAUAUUUAUUUAGACAUUAUUCACAACUACACGUGAGUACUUUUAGUUUUUCUCCCAACAAAAAUUUUUCACUUCCCAUGGAUAUUGGAUUACGCUAUCCAUUUUCCAUCAAAACAUUUCAUAUUCUUUCUUAUCCAGAUUUUAUCAGUUACUUUUUUUUUUGUUAUCCAUUAAGAUUCUUUUUCAGUUUUUUAUUUAUUGUCUUUUUUUGUUGUUAUCCUUAUGAAUUCUAAUUUUUAUGAGUUUAUUAUUGCAAUAUUAGGGUUGGUUUGAUUGAGUCAUAUCAUUUAAUGGAGUCAAUUAUGAACUAUUUUAAUACUAUUUUUGGUUCAUGACUUGAACAUAUGAAUUUAUGGGUUAUUGUUAAAUAAUAAUUUGUUGAAUUUUAUAUUUUAUAAAACUAUUUGAAUGUUAAUUGGAUUGAACCGGAACCAAAUCGGAACCGAACCGAUAAGGCGAUCGGUUGUGGUUGGUUCUAUACUUGUAAUGGUUAGUUCCGUUUCUUAUUUUUUUCAGAACCGUUAAACAUGGAUUGGUUUUACUAAUUCUUAUGGAACCGGACAUCCGGACCAUGGACACCCUAACAAUAAUUACAAUUUGCCCCUUAUACAUGACAGGUUCAAGUAUCUAUAUUUUUUUAUGUAAUUUUAAAAAAAAAAAGAUAGUUUUUUGUUGUUGCUCAAAACUAAUAUUGACACACACGAUCAAAAUUUCGUGGUUCGGCCAACGAUGCUUACGUCAACGGGAGAAAAUCAACAACUACUAUCAACGAAUGGAUUACACGGAGCAGACUCACCUCUCAUUCACACCCUCUCUCACAAUUCUCUCUGCUGUCUUGGCCUCUCAAUCUCACCGCCAGCAAUCUGCUCUCAAACCCACAACACAACGCACGUAGAAAAUCUAAGCACCUACCAUCCCUUUUAUAACCAAAAGGAAGGAAGGUGGUACACUCCUACCAGAAUACCUAAUCAUUAUCUAAUCUAUCUAGGAAGACAAAAGAUAACGACUCUCAAGAGUCUAGAUAACUCGAGAGUUUCACCGCACAUGGACCUCCAUAUGAACUCCAAUCGGGCUGGACUGGCUACUGACUUGGACCAUCCAAUUGGACUUGGAUUCAUUCAAAUGGGCUGGACUCAAUAAUCUCCCCCCUCCAGCCCACUGGAGGUAAUCCUAUGUCUUCAGUUAUCCUUUCCUGACAGCUUCUGAUCCAACUCCCCCAUAAGACUGCCAAGACAGCACCGAGAUACCUUAGCCUCAUCAACGGGCUAUCCAUUCCUACCGAAUGUUAUGCACCUCCACACCGAAAGUGCUGCACCUCUUACCGAGGUGCCCUGCCACCCUUCCCACUGGGUGCCCUCUCCUGGUGCGUGGGGUGCUGGGUUCUCCCCGUGCCGUGACAGGCGAGGGACCUUCUUGGCGGCGUGGCUGAAAAAACAUUAAACUCUUUAGAUGCGAUGUGUAAAAAUGACAAUUCCUCCAAAACUUAUACAUAUAUAAAACAAGACUUGAAUUAUAACAGUAAAUGUGAAGGAAAAAAUCAUCAAGCAUAAUAUAGGCUAAUAUCACAGUAUAUAUAUUAUUGCACCCGUAUAUAUGUUUUUUCUUAUAGCGAUUGAUAUAUCAUCCGAUCAGUUACCUCUCCCCAUAGAAGGCAUAAAGAGAGGGAGAGAGGAUUAUUAAUCAUAGAACACAUGUUGAUAAAACAAUCGAAGCCUAAUAGUACUCGACUCGUAAUCGACUUGUUAAAACCUUGCUUAAGAUUAGUUCAUUUGGGGCUCGAAUAUGGAAGAGAUUAAUUCAUGUACUCUAUUUUUAAAACUCGUUAAGUUUUUAAAUUAAAUUUGAAUAAUCUACUAAUAUUCGGCUCGAUAAAUUUAUAAUCUUUAAAAAAUUCAAUCUACUUGAGAUCGAUCGUGAUUAACUUGAUUAAAAUUCGUUUGAGAUCGGUUCGCUUGAUAAAUAAAUCAAAUCUAAAUUUAUUUUUAAAACUUGUUAAAUUUUUAAAUCAAUAUAGUAAUUUACUAUUGGAGUCGUUUAUGAGCUUGCACACAUUCUCGUUGAGAAGAACGUGGAAACGAUGAAAAUUAUUCAAUUGACUACAUCAAAGGAGUUGGGUCAACAUUUACGGGGCACAAGAAGAGACUUAUAUAAAAGCUGAGUCAGAUUCGUAAGAAUAUACAUUUUAGCGUCAAUUACACUCACCUCCAUUGAGAUAUCUAACAAAUACACUAGGAUACCCUUCUUUUUCUAAAAUAGCAUUGACAUCUCCUGUCAGACAUAUACACCGUCAAGAAAUUGUGGGAUUGCCAUAUUACCCUUACAAUUAAAUGGUUGAUUGUUGACUCUGAGUCGUUUUUUUUAAAUGAUGAGAAUAAAAAUAUUUUACCACU